RNAcentral lists this ribosomal RNA (644 nucleotides) under uncultured bacterium. RNAcentral describes it as "bacterial SSU rRNA". It matches the Rfam family "Bacterial small subunit ribosomal RNA", at positions 8 to 694 of the family's 1533-position model. The record is from RNAcentral.
AGAGUUUGAUCCUGGCUCAGGACGAACGCUGGCGGUGUGCUUCACACAUGCAAGUCGAACGAGGUAGCAAUACCUAGUGGCGGACGGGUGAGUAACACGUGGGAAUCUGCCCUAAGGUGGGGGAUAGCAGACCGAAAGGUCUAUUAAUACCGCAUAUGCCGUGAGGUAAAAGGAGUAAUCCGCCCCUGGAUGAGCCUGCGUCCGAUUAGCUAGUUGGUAGGGUAAAGGCCUACCAAGGCUACGAUCGGUAGCUGGUCUGAGAGGAUGAUCAGCCACAAUGGGACUGAGACACGGCCCAUACUCCUACGGGAGGCAGCAGUGGGGAAUUUUACGCAAUGGGGGAAACCCUGACGUAGCGACACCGCGUGAGCGAAGAAGCCCUUUGGGGUGUAAAGCUCUGUCAGCAGGAACGAACAAAAUGACGGUACCUGCAGAGGAAGCAUCGGCUAACUACGUGCCAGCAGCCGCGGUAAGACGUAGGAUGCAAGCGUUGUCCGGAUUUAUUGGGCGUAAAGAGUUCGUAGGCGGUUAUUUAAGUCUGGUGUUAAAUACUGUGGCCCAACCACAGAACUGCAUUGGAUACUGGAUGACUUGAGUGCGGUAGAGGCGAGUGGAAUUCCCAGUGUAGCGGUGAAAUGCGUAGA